Molecule: ribosomal RNA, 237 nt
Filed under: uncultured bacterium
Lineage: Bacteria
Description: partial 16S ribosomal RNA
Rfam family: Bacterial small subunit ribosomal RNA
Source: RNAcentral
UUCGCCUACGGGGGGCAGCAGUGGGGAAUAUUGCGCAAUGGGGGAAACCCUGACGCAGCAACGCCGCGUGCGGGAUGAAGGCUUUCGGGUUGUAAACCGCUUUCAGCAGGGAAGAUAAUGACGGUACCUGCAGAAGAAGCCCCGGCUAACUACGUGCCAGCAGCCGCGGUAAUACGUAGGAUGCGAGCGUUAUCCGGAUUUAUUGGGUUUAAAGGGGGCGCAGGCGGAGGUGCAAGU